GCUACAGGCUUAACACAUGCAAGUCGAGGGGCAGCAUGGUCUUAGCUUGCUAAGGCUGAUGGCGACCGGCGCACGGGUGAGUAACACGUAUCCAACCUGCCGUCUACUCUUGGCCAGCCUUCUGAAAGGAAGAUUAAUCCAGGAUGGGAUCAUGAGUUCACAUGUCCGCAUGAUUAAAGGUAUUUUCCGGUAGACGAUGGGGAUGCGUUCCAUUAGAUAGUAGGCGGGGUAACGGCCCACCUAGUCAACGAUGGAUAGGGGUUCUGAGAGGAAGGUCCCCCACAUUGGAACUGAGACACGGUCCAAACUCCUACGGGAGGCAGCAGUGAGGAAUAUUGGUCAAUGGGCGAUGGCCUGAACCAGCCAAGUAGCGUGAAGGAUGACUGCCCUAUGGGUUGUAAACUUCUUUUAUAAAGGAAUAAAGUCGGGUAUGCAUACCCGUUUGCAUGUACUUUAUGAAUAAGGAUCGGCUAACUCCGUGCCAGCAGCCGCGGUAAUACGGAGGAUCCGAGCGUUAUCCGGAUUUAUUGGGUUUAAAGGGAGCGUAGAUGGAUGUUUAAGUCAGUUGUGAAAGUUUGCGGCUCAACCGUAAAAUUGCAGUUGAUACUGGAUGCCUUGAGUGCAGUUGAGGCAGGCGGAAUUCGUGGUGUAGCGGUGAAAUGCUUAGAUAUCACGAAGAACUCCGAUUGCGAAGGCAGCCUGCUAAGCUGCAACUGACAUUGAGGCUCGAAAGUGUGGGUAUCAAACAGG
RNAcentral lists this ribosomal RNA (750 nucleotides) under uncultured Bacteroidales bacterium. RNAcentral describes it as "bacterial SSU rRNA". It matches the Rfam family "Bacterial small subunit ribosomal RNA", at positions 39 to 776 of the family's 1533-position model. Lineage: Bacteria; Pseudomonadati; Bacteroidota; Bacteroidia; Bacteroidales. The record is from RNAcentral.